Molecule: microRNA precursor, 209 nt
Organism: Oryza rufipogon (brownbeard rice)
Lineage: Eukaryota; Viridiplantae; Streptophyta; Magnoliopsida; Poales; Poaceae
Rfam family: MIR812 microRNA precursor family
Source: Rfam
AAUAAGUGCAGUUUUGUACUAUUCACGUUCAACGUUUGACUGUUCGUUUUAUUUGAAAAAAAAAUUAUGAUUAGUAUUUUUAUUGCUAUUAGAUAAUAAAACAUGAAUAGUAUUUCAUGUGUGACUAAAUAUUUUUAAAUUUUUCAUAAAUUUUUUUAAUAAGACGAACGGUCAAACGUUGGGCACGAAUAUUCACGGGUGCUUUAGGA